Molecule: long non-coding RNA, 5514 nt
Organism: Physeter macrocephalus (sperm whale)
Lineage: Eukaryota; Metazoa; Chordata; Mammalia; Artiodactyla; Physeteridae
Exons: 4
Source: RefSeq, a predicted model, not a curated record
CGGAGGAAGAGGGAGUGGUCGGGGGUGGCGGGGGUGACCCGCCAGCCGGUCUCCGUCACACACGGACCCCGUGAGAUUGCCUGUGCGACGCCGUUAAAUGUCCCACUGUAGACAGAGCUGGGGGGAAGCUGCCCUUUGGAACUUUGUUCCCAUGUCCCGUGUCCCACGCGGCAACCUCACUUCAGUGCUCGCCGCACAGAAUCGGAGGACUGGCCGAGACAUGGUCCCUGUCCUCUGGGGCUUUCUGUGUCCCUGGAGUCAGCAGACCCAGGAAGAGAGGACCGAGCGGGGCAUGAUGUCAGAAGUCCACACUGGCACCCGUGGGGCAGGAAGAUGCCUCGGGGCUUCAGCUAAAGGCCCACAGCUGAGGUCGGUUCUCCGUUCUCAACAGGGCGGCCUGCCCCGUCUCCAGGGCUCACCCAGAGCAGCCAAGCCUCGGCGCCUCACCAGCGUCAUCCGGUCCCACCUCUCCGAGCGGGGCCAGGCCCUGCGAGCUGCAGCUUACGUGCAGGUGAGUAAACUGAGGCUCAGCGAGGUGAACUGACAUCCUGAGAGGGAAUGGGAACCCUUGGCCGACUCCAGCCACCCUGGGCCUCGCGCUGCUCACAGCAUCGUCCCCAGCCCUGUGCCACCUGGGACCUGGCCACCAAGGUGUGGCCACCAUCGGUGACGUGAGUACAUGAAGCAGCAAAAGUGGGUCUUCCUGGAGUUCUGUGAGCUGCUUCUGGAUGACCAGAGCCACAGCCUGAAAGUCAAAUGGAGGAGCUAUUUUUAAAGAUCCCAACAUGGUAACGAAAGCCUCAAGAAUUCCAAAGCCAGAGACAAAAAGAACCCGAGUCCCCAAACCCUUCAAGUGUCCCGUCCCAGGGAAAAGCUGAGCCUGAACCACGCUGGUGAAUCCCCGCUUCUGCCCAAAGCUGCAACACGAGGCACAUGUGACCCGCUCACAGUGAAGCCAGCUCCCAGACGCAAGUUGACGACACUGUAAGAUACUGGAACGCGAAAGGACAAGCCAGUUACUGAACCUCUGCUAUGUGUCAGGACCUCCGUAUACAUCAGGACGGUGAACCCCGCCACUAGCCUAAAAACGAGGUGCUCGCUGAGGGAGGAGGAAGUUGCGCCUUCGAGCUGCAGUACCCUGCCCAAGCUCACGGCCAGCAAAGCGUGGAGUCGGGGCUGUUCUGACUCCAGAGCCCACGCUCUUCCGUGAAAACACACCACCUCCCUGAGCGCUUGGUUUCAGAAAACGCGCUCCCUAACGAGGACACCGAAUCUGGGAAAUACGGACCGCUAAGAAUUCAAAACGUUCCGACCAGAAAUACCCUAAGAGCCUGUCUCAAGAGAAACUGGAAGCUUCUCUACCCUGCCUGCCCCUGCUUAUCACUGGGUCUGCAAACGCACUGCGCCCUGUCCCAGAAUGACCCAAGCCACCAGCUUAACACAGAGCCGGCCUCUCCUUCCAUUUACUGCUGACACUCCUCACAUAGCCAGUAUUUACGAAGCACCUUUCAACCUGUGGACACAAGGCCUCCUGGUCCCUCACUCCUACACGCUGCCGACGCUUCCUGCUUACAGCUCUGACCCUUCCCUUCCCACCUUUCCCACGACCCAAGCUUAGGCCCCCUCACCUCUGGCUGUACCUCUGUAGAACCCUAACCAACACAGGCGCCAAACCUCGGGACCAUGGCAUCCAAGGCGCCACUGACUCUGGCUCCCCUGCCCGGCCAGGCUCUCCCACGCAGCGUUCAUCCUGGCUCCCCUGCAGGGCCGGUUCACACCUCUGUGCUUCUGCCCACUGUCUCCUCCAGUUAGAAGACUCUCGCCCUCUGCCUGUUUACCACGCGCCACUAUGUACAAACCACUGCAGGAUAAGCGUUUUCAAAACUAUGAGGCGCUGUACCAAUAUAAGGCAUUAUCUUGGCCCCAUGAAGAGUCUGGAUUUAUUAGACAAUUAUUAAAAUUCUACUAGAGGUUUUUCAAGAAUAGAAUGAAGUAGUAAGCAAGACAAAAAUACGUCUGUAGAUAGAGGCAAAGAAGUGAGUGAAAGAGAAAAAAAAUCAGAGGCAAGUGAGAGUAAGUGACUAAAUGCCGUCCCCUAACAGGCAGACCAAAGUACGGACACAUGUUAAACUGGAAAGGAGGCGUUUUCUCCUCCUCAGAGGGCAGGGGAAGAAAAAGACUGAUAGGCAUUCAGAGAUAGCUCAGCUGGAAUGGAGUCAAAGUUGAGAGAACUCUCCCAACAGCCUCUGCUCCAUGAUCUAUAAGGGAGAGUCCCUUGUCAAUGGUAAAGCAAAAAGAGUGUGUGUAUAUACAUAAUAUAUGUACACAUAUAUAUAUAAUUUUAAGUGAGGUAUAGUUGAGUUACAAUAUACAAGUUUCAGGUGUAUGACAUUCACAAUUUUUAAAGGUUAUAUUCCAUUUAUGCUGCAACUAAGGAGGCCUGGAGCCACAACUAAGGAGCCUGCCUGCCACAACUGAGGAGCCCACAUGCUGCAACUAAAGAGCCAACGAGCUGCAACUAAGGAGCCCGCCUGCCACAACUGAGACCCAGUGCAACCAAGCAAAUAAAUAAAUAUUAAAAAAAAAAAAAUUGGCUAUAUUCCCUGAGUUUUACAAUAUAUCCUUGUAGCGUAUUUACUAACGACGGUUUGUACCUCUUAAUCCCCCACCCCUAUCUUGCCCCUCCCCUUCCCUCUUCCCCACUGGUAGCCACUAGUUUGUUCUCCUAUAGCUGUGAGUCUGCAUCUCUUUUUAAAAAGUAUAUUUUUAAGGAAGGUACCAUGAAUGAAGGAAGGAUGCUGUGUAAUAAAGAAUUUAACUAUGCUCAAAAGAAGGUCUGGGCUUUAUCGUCGGCUGACAAUCUGAUUUAGGGUGGGGACUGGCCACACCAGAAAGACCAAAAACAUGAUUUAGGGUGGCGCUCUGGGUCACGCAGUAUCAGCUGACCUGGAAACUGAGAUCAACCUUGUGGGCGGUCCAUCAAUCAAUCAUUUAUGCCCAUGUCAUAAAAGCCCAAUAAAGACUCCAAACACCAAGGCUCAGGUGAGCAUCCCUGGUUGGCAAUACUCGUGUCAACGCCAGUUACGUACCACGUUCCAACUCCUUGGGGAGAGGACAAUGGAAGCUCCAUGUUUGGUACAGCCCCAGAUUCUGUCCUAAGAGCCGCUUCACUUGGCUGACUUUAAUAAACCAUAACUCUGAGCACACAGCUUUCAGUGAGUUCUGUGAGGCCUUCUAGCUAGUAAUCGAACCUGAGGGUGGCGUGGGGAACCCCCAGACUUGCAACUGGUGUCAGAAGUGACGGUGGUCUUGUGUGGACUGUUCCCUCUCAACUUUGUAGCUGACCAACUCUGCAGGUGGCCCGAACUCUUCUCGGGUGCUACAGCUGAAGGGUCACACACAAGUUGUUAACCUGACCCUGGAAACUGGCUUUGGGGACAAAAAGGAGCAAGAGUGAGUGUUUAGACUCUGUACUUUAUGCUCUGCUCUAGUGUUUGAACUUUUUUUUUUUCUUAACCAAACAAGCAUGUAUUACCUCUAUAAUUAAAACAUUACUUUUAAGAAACAUACCCCCAAAAAGCUGCUCUAAGAAAACUAUCUUGUAGAGUUGCUCAGCACGGAUUGGAGCAGGGAAAUUCUGGAAUCAUGAGGAAAACUACUUCUCAAUUCAUCCCAAGCAUUAACUUCAUAUGUGAACUUACUGCUCGUUCCAUUUCCUCAAAUUAACAAAGACUAUGUGAUUUAUGUCACCAAAGGGUCCAAGCCUUGCAGGUAACAGUUUCAGUAAGAAUGUAAAAGCAUGUCCCGACUUUUGACUGGCUCAAGACUGUUCUUAUACAAAGUUCCUUUCAGUACUUUCUCUCUCUCGCUGAGAGGGUCAUUCUAUUCAUGCUAAUAUUUGUCCUUUCUAGAAGAGGAUUUCUGCUUUCACAGUGCACUGAUUAGCAAGGCUGAAAAUUCCCAAUUCACUCAUUGUAAUCGAGGCAGGCUCUGAGUCAUUGGUAAAAAAACAACAACAACAACUUCUGUAUACAUCUCUACCCACUUUGCUUUGACGUGAGAUGUGUGCAUAAAGAGUUCCAAUUGUUGAUUUAUGAAUUAUUUAGGAAAUUACUAUCAAAUAGUCUCAUGCUCCUCCACCUCACAACUUAAAAGCCCACCUACCAGCCUCACUCCUGAAAGCACACAAUCCAAGUAAUGUCAGUCACUCGACCCUUCUAUUUACCAGAAUCUGCAAGAGGUGCAAUUUAAGACGUCUGUUCCAUUCCGUUUUUCAAAUAUCCCAAGAGCCUUUCUCUUUAAUCAAGUAUUCUGGGGCUUCCCUGGUGGUCCAAUGGCGAAGACUCCACGCCCCCAAUGCAAGGGGCUUGGGUUUGAUCCCUGGUCAGGGAACUAGAUCCCACGUGCCGCAACUAAGAGUUCGCAUGCUGUAACUAGGUUUGCAUGCUGCAACGAAGAUCCCGCAUGCCGCAACUAAGAGUUCGCAUGCUGCAACUAGGUUUGCAUGCUGCAACGAAGAUCCCGCAUGCCGCAACUAAGAGCCUGCGCAGCCAAAAUAAAUAAAUAUUUUUUUAAAAAAGUACUCUGACUUCCUAAGAAGCAAAUUUAGGGCGUGGGCUUUCUCUAGUUGUGGCGAGCGGGGGCUACGCUUCGUUGUGGUGCACGGGCUUCUCGCUGCGGUGACUUCUCUUGUUGCGGAGCACGGGCUCUAGGCGUGUGGGCUUCAGCAGUUGUGGCAGGCAGGCUCAGUAGGUGUGGCUUACGGGCUCUGGAGCGCAGGCUCAGUAGUUGUGGCCCACGGGCUUAGCUGCCCCGUGGCAUGUAGGACCUUCCCAGACCAGGGCUCAAACCCGUGUCCCCUGCCUUGGCAGGCGGAUUCUUAACCACUGAGCCACCAGGGAAGUCCCCAAGAUGACUUUCUAAAAAGGUGACUUCAGAUAAGUAAACGUUAAGACAGUAUCAAAAAGAUUAAAUCUGACGUUUAAAAAGGUGACUUUAAGCAAAUAAAAUUUGUGAAAGUAUCAACAGAUUAAAUUCAUCAUCUUUAAGGUGAAGAGUCUAAGAAGAAAUAUACAUUGGCCCAGAUUUCUAGACCAUUUGAGACAGCAGUAGUAAAACAGAUAAAUCUACGUGCAUUAAGUACAAACACUAAGCAGACUGCAAACAUUAAACACUGUAGCAUUGCGUGGACAGCCCUUUACACCACCUGGUCAGUAAAAGAAGCUACAAAGCAGCUACAUCAACAGUUCUUAACCAACCCCCCCCCGCCAAAAAAACUGGUUACCCAUAAGCCAAUAAACUAUGUCCAUCUAACAGCGAAAAGAGACUUAGUUUCAGCAGCAAUGACUCCUCAGGAGAGAUGAGCCUUGGCGACAGCAAGAAAAGAUGCAAACAUUGCCCUGAAGGCUGACCUGACUGUCCCAGGUGCCCUGGCAGGCAAUCCCCCAAAGAUCAUUGGCAGGGGAAGGGAAGAAAAGGAAGAAGGUGGGCAAAGAAUAAAAAAGAAAAAUUAAA